RNAcentral lists this ribosomal RNA (492 nucleotides) under uncultured bacterium. RNAcentral's name for it is "partial 16S ribosomal RNA". It matches the Rfam family "Bacterial small subunit ribosomal RNA", at positions 29 to 507 of the family's 1533-position model. The record is from RNAcentral.
AGUGAACGCUGGCGGUAGGCCUAACACAUGCAAGUCGAACGGCAGCACAGUAAGAGCUUGCUCUUACGGGUGGCGAGUGGCGGACGGGUGAGGAAUACAUCGUAAUCUACUUUUUCGGGGGGCAUAACGUAGGGAAACUUACGCUAAUACCGCAUACGACCUACGGUUGAAAGCAGUGGAUCUUCGGACCUUGCUCGACUGAAUGAGCCGAUGUCGGAUUAGCUAGUUGGCGGGGUAAAGGCCCACCAAGUCGACGAUCCGUAGCUGGUCUGAGAGGAUGAUAAGCCGCACUGGAACUGAGACACGGUCCAGACUCCUACGGGAGGCCGCAGUGGGGAAUAUUGGACAAUGGGGGCGAGCCUGAUCCAGCCAUACCGCGUGGGUGAAGAAGGCCUUCGGGUUGUGAAGCCCUUUUGUUGGGAAAGAAAAGCAGCAGGUUGAUACCCCGCUGUUCUGACGGUACCCAAAGAAUAAGCACCGGCUAACUUCGUG